AACUUUCAGCAACGGAUCUCUUGGCUCUCGCAUCGAUGAAGAACGCAGCGAAAUGCGAUAAGUAAUGUGAAUUGCAGAAUUCAGUGAAUCAUCGAAUCUUUGAACGCAUCUUGCGCUCCUUGGUAUUCCGAGGAGCAUGCCUGUUUGAGUGUCAUUAAAUUCUCAACCCAACCAGUUUUUGUGACUGGCUUGUGGCUUGGAUGUGGGGGUUAUCUGCGGGCCUCUUUAGAGGUCGGCUCCCCUGAAAUGCAUUAGCAGAACCGUUUGCGGAACUGUCACUGGUGUGAUAACUAUCUACGCCAAAGACAACUGCUCUCUGGUUAAAUUCUGCUUCUAAUUGUCCUUACACAUGGACAACCAUUGAUUAAACUUGACCUCAAAUCAGGUAGGACUACCCGCUGAACUUAAGCAUAUCAAUAAGCGGAGGAAAAGAAACUAACAAGGAUUCCCCUAGUAACUGCGAGUGAAGCGGGAAAAGCUCAAAUUUAAAAUCUGACGGUCCUUGGCUGUCCGAGUUGUAAUCUAGAGAAGUGUUACCCGCGCUGGACCGUGUACAAGUCUCCUGGAAUGGAGCGUCAUAGAGGGUGAGAAUCCCGUCUCUGACAUGGACUACCAGGGCUUUGUGGUAUGCUCUCAAAGAGUCGAGUUGUUUGGGAAUGCAGCUCUAAAUGGGUGGUAAAUUCCAUCUAAAGCUAAAUAUUGGCGAGAGACCGAUAGCGAACAAGUACCGUGAGGGAAAGAUGAAAAGAACUUUGGAAAGAGAGUUAAACAGUACGUGAAAUUGCUGAAAGGGAAACGCUUGAAGUCAGUCGCGUUAGCCAGGAAUCAGCCUCGCUCUUGCGUGGUGUACUUUCUGGUUGACGGGUCAGCAUCAAUUUUGACCGUUGGAAAAAGGCUUGGGGAAUGUGGCAUCUUCGGAUGUGUUAUAGCCCCUUGUCACAUACAGCGGUUGGGAUUGAGGAACUCAGCACGCCGCAAGGCCGGGUUUCGACCACGUUCGUGCUUAGGAUGCUGGCAUAAUGGCUUUAAUCGACCCGUCUUGAAACACGGACCAAGGAGUCUAACAUGCCUGCGAGUGUUUGGGUGGAAAACCCAAGCGCGUAAUGAAAGUGAAAGUUGAGAUCCCUGUCGUGGGGAGCAUCGACGCCCGGACCAGAACUUUUGGGACGGAUCUGCGGUAGAGCAUGUAUGUUGGGACCCGAAAGAUGGUGAACUAUGCCUGAAUAGGGUGAAGCCAGAGGAAACUCUGGUGGAGGCUCGUAGCGAUUCUGACGUGCAAAUCGAUCGUCAAAUUUGGGUAUAGGGGCGAAAGACUAAUCGAACCAUCUAGUAGCUGGUUCCUGC
This 1344-nucleotide unclassified non-coding RNA is filed under the name uncultured soil eukaryote. Its description in RNAcentral is "sequence contains 5.8S rRNA gene, ITS2, 28S rRNA gene". The stretch from base 372 to 1344 matches the Rfam family "Eukaryotic large subunit ribosomal RNA", at positions 1 to 961 of the family's 3401-position model. The record is from RNAcentral.